Molecule: long non-coding RNA, 5996 nt
Filed under: Sus scrofa (pig)
Lineage: Eukaryota; Metazoa; Chordata; Mammalia; Artiodactyla; Suidae
Description: lncRNA (ENSSSCG00000062683.1)
Source: RNAcentral
UGUAUACCAAAGGCAAAGAUAUGUUUUUGUACUACUACUAGUAAAGAUAGUAACAGUCCCAGUAGUUUCACUCACCAUACAAUUAACAUAUUUAUUGAGUGCCUACUAUUCAGUGAUCUGCAAAUUUUUUGUACCUCAAAUUUACAAAGUACUUUUACAUAAACUAUCAUUAUUAGCUUCAGAUAGUUUAGAACUAUUAGAACUCAUUGUUAUGAUAAGUUACAUCUUUGUAAUUUUACAUCUCUGCAGAAAGUUCCCCAUUACUUUGAAAUAGACUGUUCACAAAAAAUUCUAAUUUCUUUUACAAAAUUGUUUCCAGUGAAAGUUUGCAAUCUUGCCCACCUUCCUGCACAUCUUUCACCUGCUCCACCCACUGAAAUGAUUGUCUUGUGCUUGUGGGCCAGCAGAGCUUCAGAGGAGUCUGUAUCUGGAACUGCCAGGUUAUAUCAAGUCAUACGGUACCUCAUUCUCCAACCCUGAAAAUAAAUACCCUUUCAGUCUUUUCCUCAGGAGGAAAACAGGUAUACCUGGAAAAGAUUUUUGUUGUUGUUGUUACAUUUUUAUUCUGGAGGAAUUUCUGAGAUUUAGUUCAAUCCAAGGAAGAAUUUUAGUGUUGGUUUCAGACUUAAAGUGACUCUAAGGUUAAAUAGGAGGCCCCUUCUUCAGGCCUUCAUAAGAUUUUCUGCAGUGUGUUGAUCCUACAAAAGUGAGGAAAUAAGCAGGUUAUUGUUUUCUAUUUGUUAUGUUAUUUUUAUUUCACCUUUUUAAGUCACCGUCCAUACAGAAAGGCCCUCAGUGACUACAUGUGCCUUCUCAGUACUCCACUGUACUUAGGAUCCUUUUGGUUUAUGGCUGUAUUUGCUACAUUAUGUUUAUCACACCAAAGUAACAAAAUUAUUCUAGUUUUGGUUUUCCUUUUUAUAUUUUAGAUAUUAUUAUCAUUAUUUAAUUCUGCCAUCACACAACAUUGGCAUAAAUUUUGUCUUUGUUGUUAUAUUUUAAGUGCCCUACAUCUUAAGGGAAUGUUAGAAUUGUUGCCAUUUCUUAGGGCACAGCUAUAUAAUCUGUAAGUACCACAGCUACCAGCUAGCACCUAAUGACUUAUUUGAAGAAGACAGUUACCCAACUAUAAUAUGAAAGAAACUGGAUACCAGCAAGGCAUUUGUGGUUGAUUCUUCCGAAAGCAAACUCUGAGGUGGAGUUUAGUGGUAUGAUAUAAGAUAGGAAGGAAAGGGAGUGUAAAGAUUGGGCAAAGGAAAAACUUGAGCUAUGACACAAACUGACAAUACCUUGGCUUACUUUAUAGGGAGUGCUAGGGCAGAUAUGGCUUAUCAGUGUGGUAUCAAAAUGACCAGAUCUUUAUAACCUAGUCUCAAUCAUUUAUUGGAUGUGAUCCAUCCUUGUGAUCCAUCCCUAGCCUUCUAUAGCUAGGGAUGUCUCUGAAGGGACGGAUGGGUUUCUUGGUAGUUAAGAGAAUAAGUAGUUUCUUCAAAUAGAAGUCUGUGAGGACAUCUCCAUGUCAAUCCAUUGCAAUAUAUAAAGACAUAUAUUAUGGCAUCAUAAUACAUUCUGGACAAGGUGUGGGGGAAGAAGAAAUAGGAAGACUAAAACUAUGCAAAAAACAACAUAGCCAAUCUUUUAAGACCAAUCUAUGUCUUUAUCUCACAUGCUUUACAUUUUAAAUUCUUAAGUAGAUAAUGAAGAAUAAAUAUAUUGUUUAGCCUAAGAAUUGUUACCUUUAUUUCAGCCUAAUACCACUUUUUAUUAAUGUCUGAGGAAAGAGCAAUUGAAAUUAGUCUAAGAAACAUACUGUUUAUAAGAGCGACCCUUAGUUAAUUAGUCUUAGGUUUGUAUCAUAACAAUUGAUGACAUAGAUGUUAUGAGAACCCUAAAGUUAAAGCUAUAAAAAGUAAAGUAUCAAUAAUUCAAAAGUUAAAGGUGGUAGAAGUCCGGAAUUGAAAGACCAGUGAGAGAUAAAUUAUAAUAGCAGUAACAAUAAACAAAAGCUGUGACUAUUUGGCUAAUGUAAACAAUUUCAAUCCAUAUAUCCAUAUACUCUUUUGAGUAAAAUUUUAUCAAAGGACUAAGAAACACACUGCUACUUUUUUUCCUAAUCUUUUAAGGAGUGUAAUUCAGACCUGCCUCUGGAGAAAUACUUUAUGCAUUGUUUGUAUAUUUCACUAAAGCAAGUUAUAGCUUUAGUUUUUCACUUAGAACUCCUAUUGUGCACAGUGUGCCUCAUAGAAGAAAAAAGAUCUUUAUGUAUUCAGAGACAAAGCAAGAGGAUGAAAACAAGUCCUGACAGUACAGUGGACAGAAUUCUACCUUCACAAGUAUUGCAUGACCAUCCUUGCUGAAAGCAUCAAUGGAACCCAUUUUCAGACAAAAGCUCCUAUGGAGGAACAUCUCCAAAGGAGGUUUGGGAAGUUUUGCUCUUGCUUUCAGGAAGCCUACAAUUUCUUUGUGUGGUCUGAAUAAAACUAAGCCUACCUAAUUAUAUAGUCGAAUGUUUUGGUUGAAUGCUUCACUCCUUGUUCUAAUUAUUACCUAUCUCAAAGGGGAGAGCUUCGCUUUACAAACAGCAGGGAGAAUAGGGUUAACUUCCCCUGCCAAAUCUCUUCAAAGAUGAGAAAACACACAGUUGGAGUCCACACUGAAGAAAGGGGCACUCAACUGCAGUGUAUAUCAACAUAAUUUGUUGCUUUUCUUGAUAGAAAUUCUCUCUCUCGAAAAAAAACAAACACUCUUUGAGAAAAAAGGAAAAUAUGUAGUAACUAAAAUUCAGAUGCUUUAUAAGCAAGAGAUUUGAGUUAAUGAACUUGACCUACUGAAAAGAAAUUGUUAGUGAAUCUUAAAUUGGUCAGAGAUUAACUUUUUCAUGAAAAAAGUUAAAUUAUUUAUUAUAUAUCCUGAUACAAAUUAAGGCAAUGACACCUUAAUGCUUAUCACUCAUAAUAUAAUAAACACAAUAGCUUCUGUGAUUUGAGCCAAGGGCAGGCUGUACUUUUAAUUCUAAACUUUACUAAGUAAUAGCUUAAAUGCUUUCCUGCAUUGUAAUGAUCUCCAAUUCUUAAAAUAUUCAUUUGACCUCCAACAUGAUUUUUACAGAGCAGAUCUUAUGUUUUAAUUUGAUCAGGAGGAAUAGGUUUCUUAUUUGAGUAGAUUCUCCACCCCAUACUCACGUUACAUUUUUUUAAAUAUAAACCUGCAAUUUUGAAUUGGUUAAAACUAUAUUUUUUGAGAUAUUCCCUAUUGUUCUAUAAGCCAUCAUGAUCUCUCCUCUACAAUGUACUAUAACUUAAAUCUUUAUCUUUUUUGAAAAGAGCUGAUUACAUCAAUGUGCUAUUUUUUUCAUAUCUAAUUAUAUGCUACUAGUACACACUGUCUCACCCAAUAGCCUCUCUAUUCUCAAGAAUUCCACAAGUCUAGUUCUCUCAACACAACGGUCUUAUCUCACAUACUUCCAAGUUCCUGCUAAAUACAAUCAUUUUAAUGUCCUUCUACCACUGCCAAAUCACCAUAUUUGGAAUCAUUGUCAGACUUCCUCAUGUUGUUCGAUGUUGGUGAUAAUACUUACAACUUUUUCUGACUUUUAACCUUGACAUCUUGAUCGAUGCCAAAUCAUAUGUAUUUUGCUGUAAGUGACCUUGAUUGGCAAGACCACACUUCAAAGCAGAGAAAAUCAACAUAGAAAGUAGAUAAGUCUACCAGGAAGGGACAGGCAUAUGAACACAAACAAUUAAGGGUGAGAAGGAGGCCUAUGAGAUGGUAAUGUGUGGUAUCCAGAGUGUCUGAUGGCAAAAAAUAAGCCUGAAUCCAUGCAGAUAUCAGCUAAAUGUAACUGAGGUCUAGUAUGGAUAUGCCAAAGAUAAAGAUAAUACUUAGCUAUAGAGAGGCUGAUAAAAAUGCAAAGGAUGGUUCAUAGGGACUUCCUUCCAAAGAAUACAGUAUGGAAAGUGGGGGAGAGUAUUUAUUUUUGUGAGGAAACAUGACAAACACUACCUCAGCCAGUUGACAAAGGCUAACAUCAACCGUGAUAAGUCAUGUGGAUUUAAUGUACCCUUGAUAAGAAGCUUGAGGUCGUUCUCCUCAAAACUCUUAACCCUUGUCUAAUCAUGAGAAAAACAAACUCAAACCAAAGAACAUUCUACAAAAUAUAGAACCAGUACCCUUCAAAAGUACAUUCUUUCAAGGCCAUCAAAAAUAAAGAAACCCCACAUCUGGCAGGACAGCAACAGCCAUAGGGUAGCAAGGAAGUCUGCCUUACAUCCUGGAGAGGCUCUAGAUAUUGCAACACCAACCACAUCCCCUAUCAAGAAGAUAACAGCCAGCAUUAUGAGGAAACAUAUGGCUGGCAUUUGUUCCCAAACCAGACCUUGCACCAAAAAUAUCAACAACACACAUUCUACACAAGGACACUUCCCACAUAAAAACAAAAACUUCAAGGCCAGUGUAGAUAACUGUUUCUCCUAAGUAAAGAGAUAAAAAGAAAUUUAAGUGAAAUGAAAAAGUGGAGGAACCACUUCCAAUGAAAAGAACAAGAGAAAUCUUUUGGAUGAAUAAAUAGUGAAACAAAGGUCACCAGUCUAGUAAACCCCAAAUACAAAAAGGAGGUAAUAAAAAUGCUAACUGAAUUAAGAAAUAUUAUCAGCAGAUACACAGAUAAUAGUAACAAGAAGCUAGAAACUAUAAAGAUGAACAAUUCAGUUGGUGAGAUACAAAUCAAUCUAAAAGAAAUGAGUAACACACUAAAUGAAAAAGAAGAAUGAAUAAGUGAUCUGAAAGACAAAAUAAUGAAAAUCACUCAAUCAGAACAGUGGACAGAAAGACAAGUUUUUAAAAAGAGAGCAAAAUUUGAUAACUAUGGGAUAAUAUGAAAAUGCCAACCUUUGUAUUAUAGGGAUAAUAGAAGGAAAAGAGAGAGAAGGGGAUUGAAAAUAUGUUUGAAUAAAUUAUGACAGAAAACUUCCCAAAUCUUAAAAGGAAAAGAUAUCCAGGUACAGUAAUCACAGUUGAACCCAAACAGACUCACACCAAGACUUAUCAUAAUUAAAAUGACAUAAGUUAAAGAGAAGAUUCUAAAGGUAGCAAGAGAAGAACAAAGAGUCAAUUACAAGGGAACCACUGCCAUAAGCAUAUCAUCUGAUUUAUUUGCAGAAUCUUUGCUGGCCAGAAGGGAGUAGGAUUAUAUAUUUAAAAUCUUUAAAUGGAAAACCCUGCAACUUAGGAUAAUAUACCCAGCAAGAUUAUCAUUUAAAAUAAAUAAAAAGAUAAAGAAUUUCUUAAUUAAAAACUAAAGGAACUAAGCAAUACUAAACCUACCCUAAAAGAAAUGUUGAAGGGUCUUUUCUACAUUUAAAAAAAAAGAAUAUUUAGGAAAAGGAAAUUCAAUAAGAAAGAAAAAUAUGGAAAAGGAUUGAAUAUCACAUGAAUAAGCCAAGCCAGUAUAUAGAUUAAAAAUAAUUUAAAAAAUUGUAAAAAUUUAAAAUUUGUAAAAAUUUUAAAUACAAUAAACAUUAAAAUAUAAGCAUGAAGUUGUAAAAUAGGGCAUCUAAAUACAAAAUGUAAGCAAAGAGAGUAAAAAAAUUUUGAUCUUUUGAAAUGUCUUUGAAUUUGAAUACCUAUCGAUUUAAAGCAAGUAGAUAUAUCAGAGUUCCCAUCGUGGUGCAGCAGAAAUGAAUCCUACUAGGAACCAUGAGAUUGCGGGUUCAAUCCCUGGCCUCACUCAGUGGGUUAAGGAUCCGACCUUGCCGUGAGCUGUGGUGUAGGUCACAGACAUGGCUCACAUCUGGCAUUGCUGUGGCUCCAGCACAGGCCAGCAGCAACAGCUCUUAUUAGACCCCUGGCCUGGGAGCUGCCAUAUGCUGCAGGUGCAACCCUAAAGAAGACAAAAAAAUGAAUAAAUAAAGCAGGUAGAUAUAGCCAAUGGCCAACAUACUUGAACUCCAUGAUAACCACAAAUCAAAAGUACACAAUAGAUUGACAAAAAACAAAAA